RNAcentral lists this ribosomal RNA (460 nucleotides) under uncultured bacterium. RNAcentral's name for it is "partial 16S ribosomal RNA". It matches the Rfam family "Bacterial small subunit ribosomal RNA", at positions 338 to 795 of the family's 1533-position model. The record is from RNAcentral.
CCUACGGGAGGCAGCAGUGAGGAAUAUUGGUCAAUGGACGAGAGUCUGAACCAGCCAAGUAGCGUGAAGGAUGACUGCCCUAUGGGUUGUAAACUUCUUUUAUAUGGGAAUAAAACAGGGUAUGCAUACCCUCUUGUAUGUACCAUAUGAAUAAGGAUCGGCUAACUCCGUGCCAGCAGCCGCGGUAUUACGGAGGAUCCGAGCGUUAUCCGGAUUUAUUGGGUUUAAAGGGAGCGUAGGUGGAUUGUUAAGUCAGUUGUGAAAGUUUGCGGCUUAACCGUAAAAUUGCAGUUGAAACUGGCAGUCUUGAGUACAGUAGAGGUGGGCGGAAUUCGUGGUGUAGCGGUGAAAUGCUUAGAUAUCACGAAGAACUCCGAUUGCGAAGGCAGCUCACUGGACUGCAACUGACACUGAUGCUCGAAAGUGUGGGUAGCAAACAGGAUUAGAUACCCCAGUAGUC